This 80-nucleotide transfer RNA is filed under the name Brassica napus (rape). RNAcentral describes it as "tRNA-Leu (TAG) (tRNA-Leu-TAG-4-1)". It matches the Rfam family "tRNA". From Rfam's summary of the family: Transfer RNA (tRNA) molecules are approximately 80 nucleotides in length. Their secondary structure includes four short double-helical elements and three loops (D, anti-codon, and T loops). Further hydrogen bonds mediate the characteristic L-shaped molecular structure. tRNAs have two regions of fundamental functional importance: the anti-codon, which is responsible for specific mRNA codon recognition, and the 3' end, to which the tRNAs corresponding amino acid is attached (by aminoacyl-tRNA synthetases). tRNAs cope with the degeneracy of the genetic code in two manners: having more than one tRNA (with a specific anti-codon) for a particular amino acid; and 'wobble' base-pairing, i.e. permitting non-standard base-pairing at the 3rd anti-codon position. The record is from RNAcentral. Lineage: Eukaryota; Viridiplantae; Streptophyta; Magnoliopsida; Brassicales; Brassicaceae.
GACAGUUUGGCCGAGUGGUCUAAGGCGCCAGAUUUAGGCUCUGGUCCGCACGGGCGUGGGUUCAAAUCCCACAGCUGUCA